GAUGAACGCUGGCGGCGUGCUUAACACAUGCAAGUCGAACGAAGAUGCCGGAGUGCUUGCACUUUGGCAGACUGAGUGGCGGACGGGUGAGUAACGCGUGGGUAACCUGCCUUAUACAGGGGGAUAACAGUUGGAAACGACUGCUAAUACCGCAUAAGCGCACGGUAUCGCAUGAUACAGUGUGAAAAACUCCGGUGGUAUAAGAUGGACCCGCGUCUGAUUAGCUAGUUGGUGAGGUAACGGCCCACCAAGGCGACGAUCAGUAGCCGGCCUGAGAGGGUGAACGGCCACGAUUGGGACUGAGACACGGCCCAAACUCCUACGGGAGGCAGCAGUGGGGAAUAUUGCACAAUGGGCGCAAGCCUGAUGCAGCCAUGCCGCGUGUAUGAAGAAGGCCUC
This 399-nucleotide ribosomal RNA is filed under the name uncultured bacterium. RNAcentral's name for it is "bacterial SSU rRNA". It matches the Rfam family "Bacterial small subunit ribosomal RNA", at positions 28 to 418 of the family's 1533-position model. The record is from RNAcentral.